AUCCGGCUGACGAAUCCCAAAUAGGACGAAACGCGCGUCCUGGAU
RNAcentral lists this non-coding RNA (45 nucleotides) under Schistosoma curassoni. Lineage: Eukaryota; Metazoa; Platyhelminthes; Trematoda; Strigeidida; Schistosomatidae. The record is from RNAcentral.